RNAcentral lists this ribosomal RNA (403 nucleotides) under uncultured bacterium. Its description in RNAcentral is "partial 16S ribosomal RNA". It matches the Rfam family "Bacterial small subunit ribosomal RNA", at positions 28 to 526 of the family's 1533-position model. The record is from RNAcentral.
GACGAACGCUGGCGGCGUGCCUAAUACAUGCAAGUCGAACGCAGUGGGGAAGGGUGAGUAACACGUGGGUAACCUCCCAUCAGAGGGGAUAACAAUUGGAAACAGGUGCUAAAACGAUACUGAUUGAUGAAGCCGCGGUGCAUUGGCUAGUUGGUGUGGUAACGGCUCACCAAGGCAACGAUGCAAAGAAGACCUGAGAGGGUGAUCAGCCCCACUGGGACUGAGACACGGCCCAGACCCAACUGGGAGGCAGCAGUAGAGAAUCUUAGGCAAGUGACGAAAGUCUGACCGAGAAAAGCCGCGUGAGUGAAGAAGGUUUUCGGAUCGUAAAACUAAGUUGUUAGAGAAGAGGUAUCUAACCAGAAAGCCACGGCUAACUACGUGCCAGCAGCCGCGGUAAUAC